ACCCACUCAGAUCUCCUUCCACACUGUGAAAGCUUUGUUCUUUCGCUCUUUGCAAUAAAUCCUGCUGCUGCUCACUCUUUGGGUCCACACUGCCUUUAUGAGCCGUAACAGGUCUGCAGUUUCACUCCUCAGCCGGCGAGACCACGAACCCACCAGAAGGAAGAAAUUCCGAACACAUCCGAACAUCAGAAGGAACAAACUCCAGACGCGCCACCUUAAGAGCUGUAACACUCACCGCGAGCGUCCGCGGCUUCAUUCUUGAAGUCAGUGAGACCAAGAACCCACCAAUUCCGGACACAUUGGGAACUUAGAGCAGUGCUUGGGACAUCGUUAUCACCAUCAGAUAUUUCCUUAAACUAGCGUGAAGUCGACUUUAAUCUUCCAGCAGUGUGAGAGCCCUGGCCCUUCAAUCAACGCCCAGGGAGCUGCGGCUCCAGAGUGGGUGGGGAUGUGGGGUGCGCAUGCGUGCGGGGGUACGCGUGCGUGCGAGUGCGCAUGCGCGCGCAGGGCCGCUGAGGCGGGAGCCCCGGAUGCGGUUCUGGCUCGCUGAGUGGCGGUAAAGUACCGCGGGUGUCGUAAAAAGGCCGCAGUGGCAGCGCCCUGGCCCACGGCUGGUAGCCCAUUUUGGACGCCGUCCUCGUUAGGAAAAGUUGGGGCAACCUGUUGCUAGUCCGGUCGUUGGUGACAGCGAGGCUUCCGCGCUCGCUGCUGGUGGGCAGCCUCGGCGCGCCCCGCGGGCUGGAAGAGGCGGAGGCGUGAUGCGGCCCGUGGACGCGGAUGAGGCGCGAGAGCCCCGCGAGGACCCGGGGAGCCCAUUGAGCCCCGCGACCCGCGCCGGCCGCGAGAACCUGGCUUCCCUGGAACGCGAGCGCGCCCGGGCGCACUGGCGGGCCCGCAGGAAGCUGCUGGAGAUACAGAGCCUGCUCGACGCCAUCAAGAGCGAGGUGGAGGCGGAGGAGCGGGGCGCCCGGGCCCCAGCACCCAGUCCGCGCGCGGAGGCGGAGGAGCGGGUGGCUCGGCUGUGCGCCGAGGCGGAGAGGAAGGCCGCGGAGGCCGCGCGGAUGGGCAGGCGGAUCGUGGAGCUGCACCAGCGGAUCGCCGGCUGCGAGUGCUGCUGAGCCGGCGGGGCCGCGCGGGUCUGGAGCGGAGCCCGGCGGGGAGUGUCCCGCGUGGAAGGCGCUGGGUAGGCAGGGAGGGGAGCGCAGAGCUGUGCCACGCUCUCCGCCGUGUUGGUUUCAUUCUUUUUUCAUAGGUGGCCACCUGACGAACUGUGUUCAUCUGAUAAGGACUCCUGGCUGCUUGGACAGGCUCAAACCAAGAGAGCCUUUCGUUUUGUCUCCCCUGUUUUUCUGCCUGCGUUUUCUCCGCAUUAGCCACUCAAUUUCCAGUACCAUCCUGGUGGAUGACUUCAGCAUUAGAUGGUCAGGUGUAUCUUUUUAUUAAUAGGCGCAUUCAGUUUGGAAAAGACAGCUUUUCAUUAAUGUCCCGCGUAAAGGAAUAUGGCCUAUACAGUACGUACGCUGCGCGUGAUCAUAUUUGUUCCUGUGAUCUCGUUGUAUUUUCAGUUUGGAAAUAUACCCGUGUGCUUUGCUAUUUUUUUAUGCUUCCUGGAAUUUGGGGACUUAAUGAGACACUUGAGGUUAGAGUUCUGCAAGUGAGAAGACACCACAUGGUUGCAGCUGCCACAUCAAGAAGCCAAGCUCCUGUCAAAGUUGUGAAUGCGACUUUGGAUGAGAUUGAGAAGGCCCGGUGGACAGUUGGUCUUGAAGAGUGGCAGUGUGUGGAUUUGAGAACCUCUGCAGACCAUCAGAUCAAAGGAGGGAGAGCUGUUUUGGGUGUUGUGUUUUUUUUGUUUUUAUAGCAUUUUGCUUUUUCCUGGAAUGUAAUUUUCCUAUGGCAUGUUAACUGGUGCACAUCGUGUAACCUGUCUGGUGAGCAACCUACAAUUGGGAUGAGUUCUAGGUACAUGUGUUUGCUGACUUUGGGAUAAACAACUUUGUUAUAAUACAGUCUCUGCCACAGAUGCAUGUGACCUCUUCAGGGGCCCAGAGUGGCUGAGGAAGGAAAGCUUCAAGCUAGCCAUGGGGGUCCCAAACCGUCAUUCCAGGCUUAGAUGAUGUCUAGCCUAGGUCAUCAGAGCCCAGACUCCACAGAGACUAAAAUCAGAGCUCUGUCUUGUUAUGAUAAAGUUCAUUUGCUUGGAAAAACAAAUGCUGAAAGGCAGUUUUUAGAAUCUUUGUGCAGAUGACCAAAGCAAUUGACUUGGCCAAGAAAAGGUAAGAUAAAUAAACAUUUUUCAAAAUGA
RNAcentral lists this long non-coding RNA (2305 nucleotides) under Pongo abelii (Sumatran orangutan). RNAcentral describes it as "lincRNA". The record is from RNAcentral. Lineage: Eukaryota; Metazoa; Chordata; Mammalia; Primates; Hominidae.